Molecule: ribosomal RNA, 795 nt
Filed under: uncultured Phormidium sp.
Lineage: Bacteria; Bacillati; Cyanobacteriota; Cyanophyceae; Oscillatoriales; Oscillatoriaceae
Description: bacterial SSU rRNA
Rfam family: Bacterial small subunit ribosomal RNA
Source: RNAcentral
GAUGAACGCUGGCGGUCUGCUUAACACAUGCAAGUCGAACGAACUCUUCGGAGUUAGUGGCGGACGGGUGAGUAACGCGUGAGAGUCUAGCUUCAGAACGGGGACAACAGAGGGAAACCACUGCUAAUACCCGAUGUGCCGAGAGGUGAAAGAUUUAUCAUCUGAAGAUGAGCUCGCGUCCGAUUAGCUAGUUGGUAAGGUAAGAGCUUACCAAGGCGACGAUCGGUAGCUGGUCUGAGAGGAUGACCAGCCACACUGGGACUGAGACACGGCCCAGACUCCUACGGGAGGCAGCAGUGGGGAAUUUUCCGCAAUGGGCGAAAGCCUGACGGAGCAAGACCGCGUGAGGGAGGAAGGCUCUUGGGUUGUAAACCUCUUUCCUCUGGGAAGAAGAUCUGACGGUACCAGAGGAAUCAGCAUCGGCUAACUCCGUGCCAGCAGCCGCGGUAAUACGGAGGAUGCAAGCGUUAUCCGGAAUUAUUGGGCGUAAAGCGUCCGUAGGUGGCGGUUCAAGUCUGCCGUUAAAACCAGUAGCUUAACUACUGACAGGCGGUGGAAACUGAACAGCUAGAGUGUGGUAGGGGUAGAGGGAAUUCCCAGUGUAGCGGUGAAAUGCGUAGAGAUUGGGAAGACCACCGGUGGCGAAAGCGCUCUGCUGGACCACAACUGACACUCACAGGACAAAAGCUAGGGGAGCGAAAGGGAUUAGAUACCCCAGUAGUCCUAGCCGUAAACGAUGGAUACUAGGUGUAGUAGGUAUCGACCCCUACUGUGCCGUAGCUAACGCGUUAAGUA